Molecule: long non-coding RNA, 1953 nt
Organism: Vicia villosa (hairy vetch)
Lineage: Eukaryota; Viridiplantae; Streptophyta; Magnoliopsida; Fabales; Fabaceae
Exons: 3
Source: RefSeq, a predicted model, not a curated record
UUAACAAAAGAAAAAUAAAUGAAAGAGGGAAAUUAGGGUUUCCCAUGUGGCUAUUCAGCUUUUCUCGUGAAAACUCAGGGUUCUCUCCCUCAAACUCACAAACGGCGUACGGCGGUAAGCUCCGCUCUGAUCUCGUUGACGCGACGGCGAUGGCACAAUCCGUCUUCUCCGAUCGCCGCGAACUAAACCAACAAAACCUCCUCCUAUCUCUGCCUCUUACCACUAAGUUUCGUAAAGCUUCGAAUUCGGAACUAAGAGGCUCGAUUUCAUUCAAUUGGAAGCGAGGAAUGGAAAGGAGCACGCACAUUAACCAUUGAAGCGAGUAAGAGCACUUACCUGUGGUGAAGAACCGGUGUGAAGUGAAGAGAAAAACCAGAGACAGGGAUCCGAUCGACAAUUGGCGAAAUAAACGCGGAAAGCUGAAGAAAUUCUUCAAGUCUGUUGAAUUUGUUUAUGAUCGUUUCAUAGCCUUCUUCCAUCAUGCUAACAUUUGGGGCUGAUUCGGAUGCAUCAGUAUCGUCGCGGCCAAAAAGAUCAGAUGUCGUCAUGAUAUGUCGGGUCCUUCUAUCAACACAAACAUUCUGAAUUGUUAUUGGAUUCUGCCAUGAACCGAUACAGCUGGAGUUGUUCGCGGUGCAGGGACAUCAUGAACUUAAAGGGAACACUUGAGAGAUUCAUCGCCCAAAGGAGAUCCUACUCGAUCUUUCCCUGUUCUGAGGCAGCAGCACUUCCAUUUAUAUAUAUUUUUUUGAUGUAAUUUCAGUUUCUUUCUCUUUUCAAUGUACAUGUACUUGGAUGAACCCCUUGAGAAUGUAUUAUAUUUGAAACAUGUAGUGAGACUUGAGCUUGAACCAUGUAAUGUUCCUUUUCUUCAGAAUGAAUUUUGACUUUGGUGUCAUUUACUUCUCUCAAUGCAUGAACGCGAAAAAAAGAAUCGCACUUUAAUCUUCAAAUUGACAGUUGACCCAAAAUCUUGCAAUAGAAGAAGCGAACUUUGACCAAUGGUUUGUUAUACAAAUAAUCCAAUAUUCCAACUUCAAAUGAUUGUAAGAAUCAUAUGACUCAAAUUUCAAAUGAGGAUGAGACCAAAUGGGACCCUAAGGUUGGAAUGUACCACCCCAAGGUCACAUAAACCUGACAAACGAAUCCAUGCUUGGGAAAUAAAUUUCAAUUCAGUGAGACUCUUGACUACCACAAGAUUAGGGAAAUAACCCCUAGAUCAAGAACCCCUUGUAACUGGAAACCAUCUGAACACAUGUCUUUCAAAAGACUAAGCCAACCACAAUCCUAAGUGUAGGAUACCCUUUCUGAGGAAAUAAAUAACCUUUUGCAAAAACCUAUGUGAGUCUUCAAUUUGCUCCAUGAUUAUUGAUCCCAUGCUUUGUAUAUGCUUAUUUGAUGAAUGAACGCAGGAUGCAUUAUAUGACCUAAUGGGAGGUAUGUACAUGAUAUUGUGAAAUGCAUAAGCCUAAGCCAGAUAACAUUAAAAGGGGUAGGACAAAUUUGGGGUAUGACAUUAGUCUACUUACCGUUAAGUCAACUUGAUAUUAUAUUGGGGAUGAAUUGGUUGGAGUUCAACCACGUUGAUAUCAACUGUUAUAAUAAGUCAGUACUAUUUCCUGAGUUAGCUGAAGAUGAAGAUUCGAAGUUUUUAAAUGCUAAUCAAGGAGGCAUUUUGUAAAAGAUGAAGCUCAAGUGUUUGUGAUGUUCACUUCUUUGAAGGGUGAGACUGAAGUUGUGAUUGUUAAUUUGCUUGUAAUUUGUGAGUUUUCAUAUGUGUUUCCUGACGACAUCAAUGAUUUUCUAUCAGAGAGAGAUUGAGUUUGCCAAAGAUUUAGUAUUAGACCCGUGUCGAUGACACCUUAUAGAAUGUCGGCUGCAGAACUAUGUGAGCUGAAGAAUCGGUUAGAAGAUUUUCUUGAAAAUAAGUUUGUCAAACUAAGUGUAUCAUCG